CUUAGUUAGUUAAUAUAAUUGAACAUCUUUAGUUUAGGUCUGAACAUCUUUAGUUUAGGAUUGAACAUCCUUAGUAUAAUUUUUCGAUAAAAGAUUACAUAAUUAAUAUUACAUGUUAAUGAUUAAUUAAAAAUGCGUAAAACUGAUACGACACCUCCAUGGAUCCCGCCCCCUUCAUCCGGGGCCCUUCGAGCCAGAGGUGCUUCAUCUACAGCAGUAGCAUAGGUCCCAGCUAGUAUGGGAUUCGGAUGUAGAUCCCAACCUCUUCGUCCGUCCCAGGUUUAUGGAACAAGCAUGGGAUAUUUUAGCAACUCGGCCCCUAUAUCCUCGCGUCUUAGAGAUACUAUAUCAGGGCAGUAUCUACCGUUGCGUCGCUGUUGGUCGUGUACAACAUGACAGGGUUCUUGUGACGGCCAUGAUUGAGCGAUGGCGACCGGAGACCCAUACAUUUCAUCUUCGCUUUGGUGAGGCCACCAUCACCCUUCAGGGCGUGGAGGUCAUUUACGGUAUCUAGGUAGAUGGACACGCUUUGUAUAUUGAGGAGCCCCAGCAGAUGCCGUCGUAUAGGUAGGAGUUGACUAGGCUCACUGGUUUCGAGCCGCAGUCGCGUGAUAUAUGGGGACAGAGUCGGCUGUCGAUGCAGUCCCUCUUCACUCACUUGUGCAUCGUAGACAUAGAGCAUACAAUUACAGAGGACACACCUUAGGUUGAUAUUGAUCGACAUGCUCGUCUUUACCUUCUCGUCAUAUUCGGGGGCAUCCUGUUCCCGAACAUAUCGGGUUCCCAUGUGAGCUUAAGGUAUUUGCCGUUUCUGGAGCAUCUGGGCGAGUUAGGAUGUUACAGUUGGGGCACUGCUGUUCUGGCUUUCAUGUAUCGAGGAUUCUGUCGAUCAUCUAUGGGCGCGAGGACCGAUGUCGCUGCAUUUUAUCCGCUCAUCCAGAUAUGGGUAUGGACUAGGAUGAGACCUUUUCAACCCAUAGUUGCUACCACUCCACUCGACUAUAUUGUUGAGGCGAUGCCAUACGCGCGGAGAUGGACGAGAGGAGGCGUUAUCCGAGAUGUGGGUACGCACUACAGUAUUCUCCCGUUCAGGGAUCAGCUGGAUCGUAUGACGUCGGACACGGUUGUAACGGUUCGCAUUUUCGCGGGCGGGAUUAGCUCUCGGAAAAAGCUACUUCAAAAUCGUUGGUGCUCUUUCAGACUUUGUUUUAAAAGAGUCGCCACCUAAUUUUUAGGAAAGUAGGAAAACCAGUUUUGAAGGGUUUAUUCAUACGCCGUGAAAGAUCCUUCUUAAUUCAAAGUUCUAGGUAAGGAUUCUGGUGAUCCCCUAGGGAAGGUAUUAAGCACCCUAGUAUUAAGGAUCCGUACUAUACUGUUGACCUUCGAAUUCCAACGUGUGAGUAUUUGCAUGAACUGUGUACUUAGAGUUUAUUUCUAGCAAAAAGCCUGUCAUGUUGCAUAUCAUCAUUUUUCUUAAAGAAUUGAAUAUAUUCCCUUUACAUAUAGGGUAUUUAGGUUCGGAUUUAUAAUAUCCGGGUAUAAUUAGUUCCUUUUAUGUAUAAGGAUAGUAGUCUUUCUAUAGAAAAGGAUAGAAAGUUUAUUUAUUUU
Long non-coding RNA from Lycium barbarum (goji berry), 1608 nucleotides. RefSeq lists it as uncharacterized. The record is from RefSeq and is a predicted model, not a curated record. NCBI's taxonomy places the organism in Eukaryota, Viridiplantae, Streptophyta, Magnoliopsida, Solanales, Solanaceae. The transcript has 2 exons.